GAUGAACGCUGGCGGCGUGCCUAAUACAUGCAAGUCGAGCGAACAGACGAGGAGCUUGCUCCUCUGACGUUAGCGGCGGACGGGUGAGUAACACGUGGAUAACCUACCUAUAAGACUGGGAUAACUUCGGGAAACCGGAGCUAAUACCGGAUAAUAUAUUGAACCGCAUGGUUCAAUAGUGAAAGACGGUUUUGCUGUCACUUAUAGGUGGAUCCGCGCCGCAUUAGCUAGUUGGUAAGGUAACGGCUUACCAAGGCAACGAUGCGUAGCCGACCUGAGAGGGUGAUCGGCCACACUGGAACUGAGACACGGUCCAGACUCCUACGGGAGGCAGCAGUAGGGAAUAUUCCGCAAUGGGCGAAAGCCUGACGGAGCAACGCCGCGUGAGUGAUGAAGGUCUUCGGAUCGUAAAACUCUGUUAUUAGGGAAGAACAAAUGUGUAAGUAACUAUGCACGUCUUGACGGUACCUAAUCAGAAAGCCACGGCUAACUACGUG
RNAcentral lists this ribosomal RNA (497 nucleotides) under uncultured bacterium. RNAcentral's name for it is "partial 16S ribosomal RNA". It matches the Rfam family "Bacterial small subunit ribosomal RNA", at positions 28 to 507 of the family's 1533-position model. The record is from RNAcentral.